GAUGAACGCUGGCGGCGUGCCUAAUACAUGCAAGUCGAGCGAACAGACGAGGAGCUUGCUCCUCUGACGUUAGCGGCGGACGGGUGAGUAACACGUGGAUAACCUACCUAUAAGACUGGGAUAACUCCGGGAAACCGGAGCUAAUACCGGAUAAUAUAUUGAACCGCAUGGUUCAAUAGUGAAAGACGGUUUUGCUGUCGCUUAUAGAUGGAUCCGCGCCGCAUUAGCUAGUUGGUAAGGUAACGGCUUACCAAGGCAACGAUGCGUAGCCGACCUGAGAGGGUGAUCGGCCACACUGGAACUGAGACACGGUCCAGACUCCUACGGGAGGCAGCAGUAGGGAAUCUUCCGCAAUGGGCGAAAGCCUGACGGAGCAACGCCGCGUGAGUGAUGAAGGUCUUCGGAUCGUAAAACUCUGUUAUUAGGGAAGAACAAAUGUGUAAGUAACUAUGCACGUCUUGACGGUACCUAAUCAGAAAGCCACGGCUAACUACGUG
Molecule: ribosomal RNA, 497 nt
Filed under: uncultured bacterium
Lineage: Bacteria
Description: partial 16S ribosomal RNA
Rfam family: Bacterial small subunit ribosomal RNA
Source: RNAcentral